Molecule: ribosomal RNA, 497 nt
Filed under: uncultured Atopobium sp.
Lineage: Bacteria; Bacillati; Actinomycetota; Coriobacteriia; Coriobacteriales; Atopobiaceae
Description: bacterial SSU rRNA
Rfam family: Bacterial small subunit ribosomal RNA
Source: RNAcentral
GAUGAACGCUGCGGCGCGCCUACACAUGCAAGUCGAAACGAUUAAAAGCACCUUUACGGGUGUGUAUAAAAGUGGCGAAACGGCUGAGUAACACGUGGGCAACCCUGCCCUUUGCACUGGGAUAGCCUCGGGAAACCGAGGUUAAUACCGGAUUACUCCAUAUAUAUCGCAUGAUGUAUAUGGGAAAAGCUCCGACGGGCAAAGGGAUGGGCCCGCGGCCUGUUAGCUAGUUGGUGGGGUAACGGCCUACCCAAGGCCAAUGAUGGGUAGCCGGGUUGAGAGACCGACCGGCCAGAUUGGGACUGAGACACGGCCCAGACUCCUACGGGAGGCAGCAGUGGGGAAUCUUGCACAAUGGGCGAAAGCCUGAUGCAGCGACGCCGCGUGCGGGAUGAAGGCCUUCGGGUCGUAAACCGCUUUCAGCAGGGACGAGGCCGCAAGGUGACGGUACCUGCAGAAGAAGCCCCGGCUAACUACGUGCCAGCAGCCGUGGUAAU